CAGAGACAGCAACAGACGACACAGAGAAAGUAAUGGAGAGAGACAGAAGAAUAGAUUUCCAGACAGUUGUAGAAUGUAUGCCAAGACACAUUGUAAGAGCUAUAAAGAGAGAGGGAGAGAGAACAGGCAGAACCUGAUAUGUAAAUGAGCAGGGCAAAUGAAACUAACUUUUGACGACCCGAUGAUCCUUCAGACUGUGUUUCUAUUGAGAGAUAAAAGGCUGGUUGAAUGAGUUGCCUGCGAAAACUACUUCAUCUGUAAGAAAACAGGCGUCUGCACCAGUGACUGGGUCAGUGCUCUAAAAUGAGUCUCUCUGGGGAGAGAGAGGAGGGGGGCCCUGCCUCUAAAAUGCAUCUCUCUGGGGGACAUGACACCAAAGCUAAGAGACCAAUCCAGCAGGAGAGACCAGCCUCCCCUGUUCCCAGCUGUGUGUCCAUGAAGAGUGACCGGUCUAUGCUUCUACCUAUACAGUUUAGAGAGGGAGACUUUUCUUCUGAACAAAGGUAAGAAGAACUCAUGGGUCCUGGUCAGUGAGUUAAACAACACUGUCUCUAGUCAUUUCUCCUCUUUCAUUUUCCCAUUUAUUGUUGUUGUUUUCAU
This is a long non-coding RNA of Oncorhynchus masou masou (cherry salmon), 600 nucleotides long. RefSeq lists it as uncharacterized. The transcript has 4 exons. The record is from RefSeq and is a predicted model, not a curated record. NCBI's taxonomy places the organism in Eukaryota, Metazoa, Chordata, Actinopteri, Salmoniformes, Salmonidae.